Molecule: long non-coding RNA, 1572 nt
Organism: Physeter macrocephalus (sperm whale)
Lineage: Eukaryota; Metazoa; Chordata; Mammalia; Artiodactyla; Physeteridae
Exons: 5
Source: RefSeq, a predicted model, not a curated record
AAUGAAGAAGUCACUGUUAUUAUCCCUGUUACAUGGAUGAGGAAACUGAGACAUGGAAAGAUGAAAUCAACUGCCCAAGAUUUCAGCUGUUGGUCGGUGGCCUUCAGACCAGCAGGAUGGUCCUACUCUACAGAUCGUACUAAAAACAUCAACACACCACGCGAGCCACCAAAAGCAACGGCAGCAGCUCAUGGCCUUCUCAGGUGGUGAGACGAAAGUGCAAGAACCACCAACCCAGUGGAAAUCCAUUUACUGCUUGGGUCUGCAAUUUUCUGUGGUUGAACCAGUGAGAAAGAUGAUGACUGCAGGAAAAAAAAAAAAGAUAAAAAGUUCUUCCAAGCCAUGACUAAGGAAAUGAAGGAAACUGGAAGAGUUUGGUAUUAGAAAUAGAAGGACAAUGUUACAGAGUAGGACCAAGAGCACAAGAUUUGGAACUUGAUGACCCAGCUCUGCUACUUAGUACAAAUAACUUCGAGGAGAGUCCUAUGGCAUGUAGGCACUGGAACAAUCAGAAUAUCAAAAAAGGAAACUGAGGUUCACAGAAGCCCAGCAACUUAACUGAGGUCAACUGGUGAGUACACACGCUCAGCCACUCAGUCUUAAAACCAAGUGGAAAGAACAUUCCUUUCUGUGCUGUCAUUUAAAUGUAUCACAAAUCACAUCACACAAUUGAAACCACUAUUGAGUUAUUCUAUAAAGUAUAAAGAGCUACAGGCCUGGCUUAUGAUAUUUUAAUUUCAUGUGUGUGCCUUAACACAUCAUAUCCAUUAAAAAUUACUUUGGGGGAUUAUUUGAUGCUUGCUGUGUUGCCUUCCUGGUUUUAAAAGGACACAGCUUGUGUGAAUGGAAUUCAUACCAAUGUUUGAGAUGACUGAAGAACAGACGACCAAAUGUGAGCUCUUUCUGUAUGGAAAAAAAUGCCAUAUUCUCCUAAUUAUGACAAGUACAAAAGCCACUGUUUUUAGUCAAUGCCCCAGAGCCUCACAAAAGAAUGGCUGGACAAGGCAGCAGCUACCAAGGAGAGGCAGUGGGCAUCUACUGGGGCUCUAGGACAGGUUGGCACAUUGCUCAGCAGUGUACCGGGUAGAUUUGGAUGGCAUUUAUUGCAAGAUGAACCAAUAAUGACACAGCCCUUACACAAAAGCCCUUGUGCCCAGUAUCAAUCAUUUAGCAUCUAACAGUUCAGUGGACAGUCUCUCUGGGAUGAAUUUCAGCCAUGCCAGCACCCCAAAUGCAGUAAACAAAGCCACAAAAUGUGAGAGAGACACACAACCAAGUGACUGCAAAGCAUCAAAUGGAAGUAACGCCAUGAGCAAGAGAUUGCCAAGUGUGGCUUAACAAUACAAUACAGGCUGGCCACAGGGCGGUUGUUACUGCUCACAAACAGUUGACAUCUGCCAACUAAACCAAAAAUCAUUUGGAGACCCAAGAACACAGCAGCCCCAGAAUGGUAUGCCAAAGGGUCAGUGGAAAACUCUUGGAUUGCAGGAUAGGAAACAAUUAGAAGGCUCAUAAGUAUCAGUAAUCUCUCUCUCUGUGUCUCUCUAUCUCUUGCUCUCUCUCCCUCACUCA